This is a long non-coding RNA of Chinchilla lanigera (long-tailed chinchilla), 416 nucleotides long. RefSeq lists it as uncharacterized. The transcript is spliced from 3 exons. NCBI's taxonomy places the organism in Eukaryota, Metazoa, Chordata, Mammalia, Rodentia, Chinchillidae. The record is from RefSeq and is a predicted model, not a curated record.
GGCCCCAUUCUCCUAAAGUUCCAAGAACUCUUCCUCUCCUCUGCUGCAUGCAUGUAUUGAUUCUAUCAACAGAUGUACAGGGUCUGAGCUGGAGAGUCAAGGAUUGGGCAUGAGGCCUUGGGUCAAAAUUGGUGGAACUUGCUUCCUUAAUACAUAUCCAAAUGAUACAGUCUUGGUGAUUUGGAGAAGUACCUAAGAAGGGGUUUGGAAUGAGCAAUGAGCCAGAUGCACAGCGUAAUCCAUGCGUAAUUUGGAAGCCUGUCUCAUUGCAAGGCAAAAUCAUGUCCUGAUUUUUUUUUUGAAAGUUUACUGUGGAUGCUGACUCCAGGAAUGAAAGGUGAGAGGUGUGUUUGUGAGAAGUCAGAGCAUAGUGUUUACUUCUACUUUUCACAAAUUUUCUGGAAUCCUAAGUAGUG